Harpia harpyja (harpy eagle) is the source of this 1213-nucleotide long non-coding RNA. RefSeq lists it as uncharacterized. NCBI's taxonomy places the organism in Eukaryota, Metazoa, Chordata, Aves, Accipitriformes, Accipitridae. The record is from RefSeq and is a predicted model, not a curated record. The transcript has 3 exons.
CGACCCAGGAUCCAGCAUCUACUCCUGCUUCUGCUCUUGCCUUUAUAGGUCUGUGGCUGCAGGAGUGCCUGGGUGUGCUGUGCCUUCAGCCUUACCAGGCUACAUGGGCUGGAGGUGCAGAGAUGCGCUUUUCACUGGGAACAAGAGGCAGGAACGAGCUGCUGUGCUGAAUCUGUACCCCCUACCAAGUAGAGAGGGGACAGGAUGAAAAGGAGCUGGAGACCAGUUAAGUUAACUGCACUGCCCCUCUGCAGCGCUGUAUACAGAAAACUCACAUUCAGAGCCAUAAUAAUAUGUUUCCCUCAGCUGCAAUGUUCAAGUAAGGCUGAUCGUGCUGUCUUAUACAAGGACAUUCAUGAAGUCAGGAGGAAUAGUUCAAGCAGCGCAGCUGCAGAUAUUUCCAUCAAAAUACACUGGACUGAGAGCGCUCUUUGAGAAGAUCUCGUGGAAGACAAGGAAAUAUUUUGCACACAGAGCAGAAACCACUCUUCAUCAACAGAGAGAGUAAUACCUGCAUUACUCUGCUUCCCUCUUUCUUUUAUCUUUGUCUCCUUUAGGAGUUCAUGCUUUGCUGCUACAUUCAAAUGGCUGCAAAGGUAAAUAUGGCUAUUACUGCAUAAAUCCAUAAUGCACACAAGGCAAUGUGCAGUUUGAAAACACAAAGAGAGGUAACAACAACCACCAUGAAAGGCUAUCUCUGAAAUCCCAAACCCCAGACUCUUCAUUCUUCUUCGAUCUCCCUGACUCAGGGUUGUGGCUUUUCAGGAUGUCCACAGAUUAAAACUACUUUUUCAAGUGCUUCAAGAUCCACUAAGGAUUUAUUUUCUGGCAAAUUGUAUGCUGUUGCUACCAGAGAUUAAUAAUAAUAUUGGAAAUAUUUAAUAAUUUGGUAAUUGUCUGAUUUGUUACUAGUAUUUGAAUCACCUGACCACACUUAGAGAUUAGAAAUGUAUUUUUCCUCAAGAUAAUUUAUAUUUGUAUUCACAGUCUGAGGAAACGCCACCUAUUCCUGCAGCAGUAAAUCAGAAACCAUUUACCCUGCCAAUACGGUUAGACAAUGUUUACGUGCAGGACUACACUCAUUGUUUGACUAAUCCGUAAGGGGUAGAUUUUCUAUUGCAUUUCAAUAGCUCAUCUACUUCAGAUUGUUGUGAACUUUCUAAAGAUGUGUUUUCACUUAUAAUAACAGAUCUUGGAGUGUAGUAAUCUGGAA